Molecule: long non-coding RNA, 2249 nt
Filed under: Brassica napus (rape)
Lineage: Eukaryota; Viridiplantae; Streptophyta; Magnoliopsida; Brassicales; Brassicaceae
Description: long non-coding RNA (BNAP_LNC001964)
Source: RNAcentral
AAGAAAUCAUAAAAUCCAUUAUCAACUGCACCAGCCUUAGUAAAAUGUUUUAAAUAUCUCACUCAUUUGAUGAUUACAUAAAUCAUAGAUACUUAUUCGCCCACUCAUCACCUUCGUCAACACAAGCAUACAUACGUUCAUAAUCCCAUAGCUCGACAAUCACACUUAAUAAGCCACAUAUGUCUGCCACAAAAACAACCGAGGACAUAGUUUUUGCCUAUCAUUAAUUAAUUUCAUGCAUGGUCAUAUAGUUUCUAGAUAAUGUAGUUGGAAUAGUAAUUAGUUUCACGACCACUGCAAUUUAUAUGAUGCAAUACAUAUCUACAAUAACUUGUGAACGUGACAUGCUAAUACUAUCGGAUAAUCAUAUACUCCGGCAAAUAAGUUUGUGUACAUGAAUACAUCUCAAUCUCCCACGUUCUCUAACCACAUUCACACCUAAUAGUUGCUCGGAAAUUUAGACAGAAUUUCCGAUUUGUAUUAAAAUUCAAAAUUAUUUAUUUAUGCGUUUCGGUCUCUUAUGGAUACACUAUUGUAAAUCACUUUCAGGCAAUUAACAUUUUCUUUGCAUUUUUCAAAAAUAAACAUGUCAUGUUUGAAUGUUAAGUGUUCUUAAGAAAAGUUUCCAAACGGAAAACUUUACUUUAGUGAUGUAUAUGUGUAAUUAGUACGUAGCCAAGCACUAUGAAUCGACUAUAUAUACAUCAAAAAAAAACUAAGUUACAAAAGUCUAGGAUUGCCGCCAUUACUUGGUAUAUAUUGUCUGCUUCCGUGGAAAUUUCAUUAAUAUUGAAAACAUAGUGAAAAAUAGGAGAAGAGAACGACAGUAAUUAAAACCAACUUGAAAUCAAUUUCUGCUGUAAAUAAGAGGGUGGGAGAAUUCAAAAAUCUUAAAAGUAACUUUUAUAUAUAUUUUGUUAUUUUAAACUAUGGAAGGGCUUGGGACGAUGGCCCUUAGGGGAGAAGAAGUAAAAUCACACUUCGCUCUUAACACUUACGGGAGGGAAUUGAGGUCGCAUGAGGUAUCCACGUCCAUUUAAAUCUCGAGGAAAUAGGACUGAUAGUUUAAGGAAAUUAAAAGAUAACUAGUUACCAGUCUAAUUAACUAAACUAAACCAGAUCAGUGUAGAUCCAAACUAAUGAAACCCAAGAUCGAGAAUAGACCAUCGUAUUAUUCCCCUUUGAAUCGUCCAAAAACUUCUAAAAAUAUUUCAAAUUUUAUGGGACGAUUGUCUACCGGGUUAGGUGAAAAACAAAUGAAAUUUGGCAAAUAGGUCACAUCACUACGAUUAAUCAAUGUUGAGACAAAUUUUAUGGGACGAAUGUCUACGGGUUAAGCGUAUCUUAACAGGUGUUGUGAUUUUUGACCAAAAAAAACAGGUGAUGUGAUUAAUCAACGGACCAUAAAAAGUUGUACGUACAUAUUUAACGUAACAGCAAUACAGCAUAACAAGUAAAACUUGUACGUAAGAAGCGUAAAUAGCAUAAGUGAACAAAACUUUUGGUGCCCUAAUUUCGUAGAAUGACAAGUCAAACUUAAUAAUUUUCAAGUGUUUAGUUUGAAUAAGUGUAUAUUUUGAUAUAUCUUGCAAUUUUAGGCACAGAAUGAAGUUCUGCGGGUUUAAAAUGGCAAAAAUAUGUAAAAUAUAUACUAGCUCGCUCAGUCACAUAUAAUCAUUUUCUAAUAUUUGCAUUAGGAAUUUUCUUUCAUCCAAUGGUUUAGAUUGUAAAGAUUUUAACAUUAGGAUGUUAUAUUAUCCAAAAUGGGUGAUUUUACUUUACUUCCCAAAAUAUGUGGUGAACAUGUCACAUAUCUUUCGUUGUUAAUACUUAAUAGCUUAUUGUUUGACGUAAAAGUCCUAAAACGUGUACUAAUUUUCAAUCAAAAAUAAAAUAUAUAAUGUGCACAUGUUGAUUUGACAAUUCUAGGGGGUGGGGUAGGGGGAACUAGUGAUCCUAAAUUUAUCUCCUAUAAAUAGACGUCUAGGUUAGAUCAAAUAAAACAAGUGACCACAACAGAAAGUGAACUCUAACUUGAGAAUCAUGGAUCAAAUCAUCCUCAACUCAAACCCUUUCCUUUUAACUCUUUUCGCAUUACUUCCAGUUCUCUUCUUCGCAAUUGUCAAAAAUAAGAUCAAAUCGAAAAAGCUAAACCUUCCUCCAUCUCCCUCAAAACUUCCACUCAUUGGAAACCUUCAUCAAAUAGGUAACCUACCUCACAACUCACUCCACGACCUCUCACUCAAACA